UGGGGAAUAUUGGACAAUGGGGGCAACCCUGAUCCAGCAAUACCGCGUGUGUGAAGAAGGCCUUCGGGUUGUAAAGCACUUUGGGCGGGGAAGAAGUUGCACUGUUUAAGAGAUGGUGCGAUUGACGGUACCCGCAGAACAAGCACCGGCUAACUCUGUGCCAGCAGCCGCGGUAAUACAGAGGGUGCAAGCGUUAAUCGGAGUUACUGGGCGUAAAGGGCGCGUAGGCGGUACAGUAAGCGGGAUGUGAAAUCCCCGGGCUUAACCUGGGAACUGCAUCCUGAACUGCUGUGCUGGAGUACUGUAGAGGAUAGUGGAAUUUCCGGUGUAGCGGUGAAAUGCGUAGAGAUCGGAAGGAACACCAGUGGCGAAGGCGACUGUCUGGACAGAUACUGACGCUGAGGCGCGAAAGCGUGGGGAGCAAACAGG
This 429-nucleotide ribosomal RNA is filed under the name uncultured bacterium. Its description in RNAcentral is "bacterial SSU rRNA". It matches the Rfam family "Bacterial small subunit ribosomal RNA", at positions 355 to 776 of the family's 1533-position model. The record is from RNAcentral.